GGUAUGGGAGUCUCUCAGUAGGAAUCAGUUCCCAACCCAAUCGGCCGCAAAAUUAGCUUUUCGGAGUGUCUAUUUCAAAUUUUUAUAAAAAAUUGUAUGUGUCAAUGAAUAAAUCGAGGAGAAAGUUCGCGAUUACCGACAAAUUCCUUCCCAGGCUCGCUAAAAACCUGUGCACCAGAAAGGGCAGUCGCCGAGCCAACACCGGGAACCGCCUGGAACACUCCGUCCUAACCCACCUGCAGCACGUGCCCUAGAUCCCCUCCCCUCCCCUCCCUCUCCGUCUCAUCAUCCAUCCCGCUUCCACCUGCAACGUAAGAGGGAGACACAGCCAUGGCUCGCGGCGAUGAGUGCAAGACCACCAGCAAGGCUAACUACGCGUGCAAGAAUCUGGACGUCAGCGCUCCUGUCAUGAAGAAACCUUCAAUGUCUUCGACCUCGUUCGCAGCGAAGAAGGUCGAAGAGAAGAAGAACUACGGAGCGUGGGGUCCGAUCUUCAAGGACAAGAAGUCGUUCGUCGACAUGCAUCACUGCUGAGCCCCCAGACUCAUCACCAUCUCAUCAUCAUCAUCAUCAACGUCAUAGACUGCCUUCACCAACUGAGAGAUUCGACCGACGCACCACAGAGAAACCUUGCAAAGUGAAAAUCAAAAUCAGAAAAAGGAAAAAGAAAUCUGAAAUCGUAACAAGGGUUUCCUUUAGAUCUUGUGGUAGAAAUACUGGAAUAGACUGGAAGAAAGAGAAACAUCAAGUUUGCUGGAAGGGAUGCUGAGUUUUUGCAGUGGGAUAUGAUAAACCAGAGCGAAAGACCAUCAUAACAAAUGAAAAUCGACACUGAAAUGCUGAAGCACUGAAAUGCAAAUGAAGAUCAGGAAUAAGCAAACAGGCGUCAUCUUCGAGUAGACUCUUAUUUUUUUCCAAAAUUAAGUAUUUGUAAUUAUUUAUUCGACCAUUAAAGUUAUUUUUCCAUUUUAAAUUACAUUUUAUGUCUUCAGUAAGCUUAGUAGUCUAUGGCGUACGCUUCGCAUUGCCAUUGGGGUAGGGAACAAUCACUUUACAUUAUUAUUUGCUUCAGCUACUAACAAAUGCCAUGUAAUUCAUACAAUUAUCCAUUUAUUAAACUUUCUCAUCCGUA
Molecule: long non-coding RNA, 1132 nt
Organism: Plutella xylostella (diamondback moth)
Lineage: Eukaryota; Metazoa; Arthropoda; Insecta; Lepidoptera; Plutellidae
Source: RefSeq, a predicted model, not a curated record